UUGAACGCUGGCGGCAUGCUUUACCCAUGCAAGUCGAACGGUAACAGGCCUUCGGGUGCUGACGAGUGGCGAACGGGUGAGUAAUGCAUCGGAACGUACCCAGAGGUGGGGGAUAACGCAGCGAAAGCUGUGCUAAUACCGCAUGUGAUCUGAGGAUGAAAGCGGGGGACCGAGCAGCAAUGUUUGGCCUCGCGCCUUUGGAGCGGCCGAUGUCGGAUUAGCUAGUUGGUGGGGUAAAGGCCUACCAAGGCGACGAUCCGUAGCUGGUCUGAGAGGACGACCAGCCACACUGGGACUGAGACACGGCCCAGACUCCUACGGGAGGCAGCAAUGGGGAAUUUUGGACAAUGGGCGCAAGCCUGAUCCAGCAAUGCCGCGUGCGGGAAGAAGGCCUUCGGGUUGUAAACCGCUUUUGGCAGGAACGAAACGGUGUCCGCUAAUACCGGGCGCUAAUGACGGUACCUGCAGAAUAAGCACCGGCUAACUACGU
Molecule: ribosomal RNA, 490 nt
Filed under: uncultured bacterium
Lineage: Bacteria
Description: partial 16S ribosomal RNA
Rfam family: Bacterial small subunit ribosomal RNA
Source: RNAcentral